CCCUAUCCGUUCGGAAUCAAAGUGGUCGCGUUAUUUAAGAAAGAAAGCUUUGGAUACCAAGAGAGGAAGGUUUUCUCCCUCUAAUGGAACUGCAGAUGAAGCAGGGCCAUCUAAUGUGGCUUUAUGUGAACCUGGAGCAUUAAGCAGUGAUUCUGAAGAUGCUGAAUCAGAUGAGGAUUAUGUGGAACAUACGCAUGAAGUGAUUCCUGAAAUUCCAGCAAACAUUGUUGCUUUGCUUCAGAUAGCUGAAAAUACAGACGUUCUUGAUUUUGGA
Molecule: long non-coding RNA, 274 nt
Organism: Lotus japonicus
Lineage: Eukaryota; Viridiplantae; Streptophyta; Magnoliopsida; Fabales; Fabaceae
Exons: 3
Source: RefSeq, a predicted model, not a curated record